This is a small nuclear RNA of Orcinus orca (killer whale), 161 nucleotides long. RefSeq annotates it as U1 spliceosomal RNA. The transcript has a single exon. The record is from RefSeq and is a predicted model, not a curated record. NCBI's taxonomy places the organism in Eukaryota, Metazoa, Chordata, Mammalia, Artiodactyla, Delphinidae.
AUACUUACUUGGCAGAGAUACCGUGAUCGCGAAAGUGAGUUUCCCAGAGUGAGACUUAUCCAUUGCACUUCGGAUUUGCUGACCCCUGCGGUUUCCCCAGAUAUGGGAAACUCGACUGCAAAAUUUGUAGUAGUGGGGGCCUGCGUUCGCGCUUUCCUCUA